CAAAGCCGCUCACAAAAUGGCCGCCCCCUGGGCGCCACCCGCCCGCGUGGCUGAGGGUCCUGGAAGUGCCUCUGGGAAAACAGGUGUAAGAAAGGGCAAAACACUGCAUGGUAGUGAGAAGUGAGACAAGAAGGAGAGGGAUGAGGUACUGGAGCACUCUGAAGACCGGGAGCAGAGUAACAGACUGUGAUUUCGUGAGAUGAAGGAAGAAAAUUAUUUCUGCUGACUCUGUAAAGGCACUGGAGGUCCAAUCCAAUGGUUGGAUGUUGAAGUGAUGUUGAA
This is a long non-coding RNA of Numida meleagris (helmeted guineafowl), 282 nucleotides long. RefSeq lists it as uncharacterized. The transcript has 2 exons. The record is from RefSeq and is a predicted model, not a curated record. NCBI's taxonomy places the organism in Eukaryota, Metazoa, Chordata, Aves, Galliformes, Numididae.